This 354-nucleotide small RNA is filed under the name Arabidopsis thaliana (thale cress). RNAcentral describes it as "ATSL227660". The record is from RNAcentral. Lineage: Eukaryota; Viridiplantae; Streptophyta; Magnoliopsida; Brassicales; Brassicaceae.
AUUGAAGUUUGUACUUAUUUGAUGAAAUCUUCAAUAAUACUAGAUUUUAACCCGCGGUAUAUCGCGGGGACAAUUUAUUUUUUUAAGUUAGUAUAUAUAAAAGUUUACAAAUUAUAUCUAUCUAUAAAAUAUUUUUAUUUUAUAGUUUACAAUUGUUAUUAAGUAACGUCCUAUCAAAUCCGUCCCGCCAACCUGUCCCGUAAAAAAAACUCAUUGAUCUCAUUUAUGAUAUGUUUAUGAAUCAUUGUUUAAAUAUUUUGUAAUUUUGUAGUAAUUAAAUGCUAUCAAAUAUUUGUGCGGUUUGAUGAUUAUAAUCGAAUUGUUAUAGUCAUGUAGAAAAACAAUAUCAAAAAU